UAACAGGCUUAUCUCCCCCAAGAGUCCACAUCGACGGGGAGGUUUGGCACCUCGAUGUCGGCUCAUCACAUCCUGGGGCUGAAGAAGGUCCCAAGGGUUUGGCUGUUCGCCAAUUAAAGUGGUACGCGAGCUGGGUUUAGAACGUCGUGAGACAGUUCGGUCCCUAUCUGCUGUGGGCGUAGGAGUUUUGAAGGAACCUGUCCCUAGUACGAGAGGACCGGGAUGGACAUACCUCUAGUGUACCAGUUGUCACGCCAGUGGCAUGGCUGGGUAGCUAUGUAUGGCAGGGAUAAACGCUGAAAGCAUAUAAGCGUGAAGCCCCUCCUAAGAUAAGAACUCCCGGGCUUGUCCCCUAAAGGCUCGAGGAAGACGACCUCGUUGAUAGGCCGCAGGUGUAAGCGCAGUGAUGCGUUCAGCCGAGCGGUACUAAUAAGCCGUGCGGCUUAAUCAU
Molecule: ribosomal RNA, 451 nt
Filed under: bacterium
Lineage: Bacteria
Description: partial 23S ribosomal RNA
Rfam family: Bacterial large subunit ribosomal RNA
Source: RNAcentral